CCUUAUACAUACUUUCUUCAAAAGCUUGACAGCUCUGAGGUUGCUGCUGUUGUAUUUACAGAAGACCUAAAAAGAAUAUAUGUUACUAUGAAAGAAGGUUUUCCAUUAGAAUAUGUUGUUGAUAUCCCCCUACACCCGUAUUUGUUUGAGAAUAUCUCAAGUUCUAG
Molecule: long non-coding RNA, 167 nt
Organism: Rosa chinensis
Lineage: Eukaryota; Viridiplantae; Streptophyta; Magnoliopsida; Rosales; Rosaceae
Exons: 3
Source: RefSeq, a predicted model, not a curated record